Molecule: ribosomal RNA, 253 nt
Filed under: uncultured bacterium
Lineage: Bacteria
Description: partial 16S ribosomal RNA
Rfam family: Bacterial small subunit ribosomal RNA
Source: RNAcentral
UACAGAGGGUGCGAGCGUUAAUCGGAGUAACUGGGCGUAAAGGGCGCGUAGGCGGUGACAAGGGUGUGAUGUGAAAGCCCCGGGCUUAACCUGGGAAGCGCAUAGCAAACUUUGUUGCUGGAGUACAGGAGAGGGUGGCGGAAUUUCCGGUGUAGCGGUGAAAUGCGUAGAGAUCGGAAGGAACGUCAAUGGCGAAGGCAGCCACCUGGCCUGAAACUGACGCUGAGGCGCGAAAGCGUGGGUAGCGAACAGG